UGUGGUGGCGAUAAGCGAGAAGGAUACACCUGUUCCCAUGCCGAACACAGAAGUUAAGCUUUUAGCGCCGAUUGUAGUGAAGGGUUUCCCUUUUUGUGAGAGUAGGACGUCGCCACGC
Molecule: ribosomal RNA, 118 nt
Filed under: Enterococcus faecalis
Lineage: Bacteria; Bacillati; Bacillota; Bacilli; Lactobacillales; Enterococcaceae
Source: RNAcentral